CUCAAUGCUUUAGUCUCAAAGCUUUAGAUUUAACAAAAUGUACCAUUAUAUGCUUAAAUUUUGUUUAUUACUAAAAACAGACCUUGUGGAGCAGUGGUAACAGAACCUCGCAGAUUUGAAAGCACAAGAAGAGAAGCCUGUGGUAUAUCAGUUCUGCAUGUCAGUUUUGGGAUUCAAUAUGUUGUAUUACAGCUUUGUAUGUUCAGAUGUGUUGUAAAUUGGUCGCAGAAACCUACCCAAAGCAGCAGCUAACAUACAUGAUUCGACAACAACAACAACAACAACAACAACAACAACAACAACAACAACAACAACAACAACAACAACAAAAAACUAGCUAGAAAAAAAAAAGUAUCAAUCUCUUUAGGUUGCUGCUUGUGUAGAGACAUCGGCACCUGGUAGGUGUCACUGAAGAACUGAUACAAUGAUAAUGCUGUUUUUACACAGACAACCACUGGAGUGCGCUAGAGCUUUAUUCAAUGCCUGAAAGGUCAUUGUUAAAUAAUAGGAUUUUAUUUGUGCACCUGUUUAUAUAUUAUAAAUCAAAACUAUUCCUAUUUAUUGUAAUUGUCUGAUUUCAGCUUAACCUUUAUCCUUAACAAUAAAGAAUUAUAUAUUUUUUGUUGUUUUCAGGUACUUCCAAAGCUCCGGUUUUGGGCAGUGGGUUCCACACAAGUCUUGGAAAAGAAUUGCGAGCUCAGACGCUCCAGAAUGGGAAACGACAGAUACACAACCUCGGCAGCCAGCUGCAGCUGAACCAGCACUGCCUAGACACGGCCUUUAAUUUCUUCAAGAUGGUGGUGAGCAAGUACUUGACACGAGGGUGAAAGAUGACACACGUCAUAGCCGCCUGCCUCUACCUGGUCUGCAGGACAGAGGGAACGCCACACAUGCUCCUGGACCUCAGUGAUCUUUUACAGGUUGGCUUUCUUUCAUUUCAAUCUCUUUCAUAUAUUUUCCACUAUACUUACUCUGAAUGAUAUGACGCAACCUAAGCGGCUGUGCUAAGGUGCAUGAUGUUCAACCUCAAAAUAAUCUUUUAUACCCUCCAUAUGACCAUUGAAAGUAAUACUGUAUGAGGCAUUGCAUAUGACAUAACAGGUAAGCAGAUGCCAGUGUUUUUGGACAACAGAAAUUCUGUUUUAUAUAUAGCGUCAGUUCAUCAAAUAUAUUAGCAUAGCUUCUCUUCAUACAAUAGGGCAAACUUGUUCACAUUUCAAUGAUUUGCACAGAUAUAAACGCAGGUAGAUGCCAUAUAUAAAAUGCUUUAAAGGGAUACUCCACCCCAAAAUGAAAAUUCUCUCAUUAAUCACUUAAAGACACCCCCAUGUCGUUCCAAACCCGUAAAAGCUUCAUUCAUCUUCGGAACACAAUUUAAGAUAUUUUGGAUCAAAACCGGGAGGCCUGUGACUGUCCCAUAGACUUCCAAGUAAAUAACAG
Cyprinus carpio (common carp) is the source of this 1440-nucleotide long non-coding RNA. Lineage: Eukaryota; Metazoa; Chordata; Actinopteri; Cypriniformes; Cyprinidae. The record is from Ensembl.